Molecule: ribosomal RNA, 1222 nt
Filed under: Bacteroides faecis
Lineage: Bacteria; Pseudomonadati; Bacteroidota; Bacteroidia; Bacteroidales; Bacteroidaceae
Description: partial 16S ribosomal RNA
Source: RNAcentral
GCAUCCUGUCACCAGGUAGCGGCCUUCUGUACCCCCCAUUGUAACACGUGUGUAGCCCCGGACGUAAGGGCCGUGCUGAUUUGACGUCAUCCCCACCUUCCUCACAUCUUACGACGGCAGUCUCUCCAGAGUCCUCAGCAUGACCUGUUAGUAACUGAAGAUAAGGGUUGCGCUCGUUAUGGCACUUAAGCCGACACCUCACGGCACGAGCUGACGACAACCAUGCAGCACCUUCACAUUUGUCUUACGACUAACCAAUUUCUUGAUUAUUCAAAUGCAAUUUAAGCCCGGGUAAGGUUCCUCGCGUAUCAUCGAAUUAAACCACAUGUUCCUCCGCUUGUGCGGGCCCCCGUCAAUUCCUUUGAGUUUCACCGUUGCCGGCGUACUCCCCAGGUGGAAUACUUAAUGCUUUCGCUUGGCCGCUUACUGUAUAUCGCAAACAGCGAGUAUUCAUCGUUUACUGUGUGGACUACCAGGGUAUCUAAUCCUGUUUGAUACCCACACUUUCGAGCAUCAGUGUCAGUUGCAGUCCAGUGAGCUGCCUUCGCAAUCGGAGUUCUUCGUGAUAUCUAAGCAUUUCACCGCUACACCACGAAUUCCGCCCACCUCUACUGUACUCAAGACAGCCAGUAUCAACUGCAAUUUUACGGUUGAGCCGCAAACUUUCACAACUGACUUAACUGUCCACCUACGCUCCCUUUAAACCCAAUAAAUCCGGAUAACGCUCGGAUCCUCCGUAUUACCGCGGCUGCUGGCACGGAGUUAGCCGAUCCUUAUUCAUAUGGUACAUACAAAAAUCCACACGUGGACCACUUUAUUCCCAUAUAAAAGAAGUUUACAACCCAUAGGGCAGUCAUCCUUCACGCUACUUGGCUGGUUCAGACUCUCGUCCAUUGACCAAUAUUCCUCACUGCUGCCUCCCGUAGGAGUUUGGACCGUGUCUCAGUUCCAAUGUGGGGGACCUUCCUCUCAGAACCCCUAUCCAUCGAAGGUUUGGUGGGCCGUUACCCCACCAACUGCCUAAUGGAACGCAUCCCCAUCGAUAACCGAAAUUCUUUAAUAAUCAAACCAUGCGGUUCUAUUAUGCCAUCGGGUAUUAAUCUUUCUUUCGAAAGGCUAUCCCCGAGUUAUCGGCAGGUUGGAUACGUGUUACUCACCCGUGCGCCGGUCGCCAUCUCCAGUUUGCAAGCAAACUGGAAUGCUGCCCCUCGACUUGCAUGUG